UUUAUGGAGAGUUUGAUCCUGGCUCAGGAUGAACGCUGGCGGCGUGCCUAAUACAUGCAAGUCGAGCGAACGGACGAGAAGCUUGCUUCUCUGAUGUUAGCGGCGGACGGGUGAGUAACACGUGGAUAACCUACCUAUAAGACUGGGAUAACUUCGGGAAACCGGAGCUAAUACCGGAUAAUAUUUUGAACCGCAUGGUUCAAAAGUGAAAGACGGUCUUGCUGUCACUUAUAGAUGGAUCCGCGCUGCAUUAGCUAGUUGGUAAGGUAACGGCUUACCAAGGCAACGAUGCAUAGCCGACCUGAGAGGGUGAUCGGCCACACUGGAACUGAGACACGGUCCAGACUCCUACGGGAGGCAGCAGUAGGGAAUCUUCCGCAAUGGGCGAAAGCCUGACGGAGCAACGCCGCGUGAGUGAUGAAGGUCUUCGGAUCGUAAAACUCUGUUAUUAGGGAAGAACAUAUGUGUAAGUAACUGUGCACAUCUUGACGGUACCUAAUCAGAAAGCCACGGCUAACUACGUGCCAGCAGCCGCGGUAAUACGUAGGUGGCAAGCGUUAUCCGGAAUUAUUGGGCGUAAAGCGCGCGUAGGCGGUUUUUUAAGUCUGAUGUGAAAGCCCACGGCUCAACCGUGGAGGGUCAUUGGAAACUGGAAAACUUGAGUGCAGAAGAGGAAAGUGGAAUUCCAUGUGUAGCGGUGAAAUGCGCAGAGAUAUGGAGGAACACCAGUGGCGAAGGCGACUUUCUGGUCUGUAACUGACGCUGAUGUGCGAAAGCGUGGGGAUCAAACAGGAUUAGAUA
Molecule: ribosomal RNA, 801 nt
Filed under: Staphylococcus aureus
Lineage: Bacteria; Bacillati; Bacillota; Bacilli; Caryophanales; Staphylococcaceae
Description: bacterial SSU rRNA
Rfam family: Bacterial small subunit ribosomal RNA
Source: RNAcentral